RNAcentral lists this ribosomal RNA (116 nucleotides) under uncultured bacterium. Its description in RNAcentral is "partial 16S ribosomal RNA". It matches the Rfam family "Bacterial small subunit ribosomal RNA", at positions 1369 to 1482 of the family's 1533-position model. The record is from RNAcentral.
CGUUCCCGGGCCUUGUACACACCGCCCGUCACACCACGAAAGUCUGCAACACCCGAAGCCGGUGGGGUAACCCGCAAGGGAGCUAGCCGUCGAAGGUGGGGCCGAUAAUUGGGGUG